GUACACUCCUGCGGGAGGCAGCAGUGGGGAAUAUUGGACAAUGGGCGCAAGCCUGAUCCAGCCAUGCCGCGUGAGUGAUGAAGGCCCUAGGGUUGUAAAGCUCUUUCACCGGUGAAGAUAAUGACGGUAACCGGAGAAGAAGCCCCGGCUAACUUCGUGCCAGCAGCCGCGGUAAUACGAAGGGGGCUAGCGUUGUUCGGAUUUACUGGGCGUAAAGCGCACGUAGGCGGACUAUUAAGUCAGGGGUGAAAUCCCGGGGCUCAACCCCGGAACUGCCUUUGAUACUGGUAGUCUUGAGUUCGAGAGAGGUGAGUGGAAUUCCGAGUGUAGAGGUGAAAUUCGUAGAUAUUCGGAGGAACACCAGUGGCGAAGGCGGCUCACUGGCUCGAUACUGACGCUGAGGUGCGAAAGCGUGGGGAGCAAACAGGAUUAGAAACCCGUGUAGUCCCAU
RNAcentral lists this ribosomal RNA (451 nucleotides) under uncultured organism. RNAcentral's name for it is "partial 16S ribosomal RNA". It matches the Rfam family "Bacterial small subunit ribosomal RNA", at positions 331 to 798 of the family's 1533-position model. The record is from RNAcentral.